RNAcentral lists this long non-coding RNA (721 nucleotides) under Mytilus galloprovincialis (Mediterranean mussel). The record is from RNAcentral. Lineage: Eukaryota; Metazoa; Mollusca; Bivalvia; Mytilida; Mytilidae.
AUUUUUAUUAUACCCCCGCUUUAAAAAAGGGGGGUAUACUGUUUUACCUCUGUCUGUCAGUCCGUCCGUCCAUCAGUCCGUCCGUCAGUCAGUCCGUCCCAUGAAACUUUCGUCACAUUUUUCUCAGGAACUACACAUCCACCCUUUCUGUAAUUUGGUAUCAAUAUUUAUAUAUGUCAGCCACACCGUGUGAUGCGUUUUCAGAUUCACCACUUGACAACUUCCUGUUUACCGAACACUUGUCUGAUUUUACACAUGAUAGCCAAGUUGAAAAUUUUCGUCACAUUUUUCUCAGGAACUACAAUACAAGGAUUUCUGAAAUUUGGUUUCAGGAUUUAUAUAAGUCAGCUAUACCGUGUGAUGCGUUUUCAGAUUCAUCACUCGACUACUUCCUGUUUACCGAACACUUGUAUGAUUUUACACAUGAUAACCAAGUUAAAAAAUUUUCGUCACAUUUUUCUCAGGAACUACAAUACAAGGAUUUCUGAAAUUUGGUUUCAGGAUUUUUAUAAGUCAGCUAUACCGUGUGAUGCGUUUUCAGAUUCAUCACUCGACAACUUCCUGUUUACCGAACACUUGCAUAUUUUUACACUAUUAAUAUUAUCCACUUGCGGCGGGGGUAUCAUCCGUGAGCAGUAGCUCGCAGUUUCACUUGUUUUUUAUAUUUUUAUACGACACAACUCAAACCAAAAUCAUUAUUAUCGCAUCAAUAUUGUUUCGC